RNAcentral lists this ribosomal RNA (171 nucleotides) under uncultured bacterium. Its description in RNAcentral is "partial 16S ribosomal RNA". It matches the Rfam family "Bacterial small subunit ribosomal RNA", at positions 338 to 524 of the family's 1533-position model. The record is from RNAcentral.
CCUACGGGAGGCAGCAGUGGGGGAUAUUGGACAAUGGGGGGAACCCUGAUCCAGCGACGCCGCGUGAGUGAAGAAGUAUCUCGGUAUGUAAAGCUCUGUCAGCAGGGAAGAAUUUAUGACGGUACCUGACCAAGAAGCCCCGGCUAACUACGUGCCAGCAGCCGCGGUAAU